This is a non-coding RNA of Rattus norvegicus (Norway rat), 69 nucleotides long. Lineage: Eukaryota; Metazoa; Chordata; Mammalia; Rodentia; Muridae. The record is from Rfam.
GGGGAUUUAGCUCAGUGGUAGAGCGCUUGCCUAGAAAGUGCAAGGCCCUGGGUUCGGUCCCCAGCUCCG